This is a long non-coding RNA of Aedes albopictus (Asian tiger mosquito), 524 nucleotides long. RefSeq lists it as uncharacterized. NCBI's taxonomy places the organism in Eukaryota, Metazoa, Arthropoda, Insecta, Diptera, Culicidae. The record is from RefSeq and is a predicted model, not a curated record. The transcript has 2 exons.
GCUAGGAUCUAUGUCAUAGCCCGCUGAGUUCCUCGCCUUCUUGUGUAACCCGGAUCUGUGACGAACACCAAUUUUGCAGGAUUGUUUUUCGACAUCCUUGCAAUAUGCCCUGCCCUCCUUUCGGCUUUGGAUGCUGGGUUAGCCGUACAGUGCAGCGAGCUCCUCGGCGAGCUCGUGGUUCAUGCUUCGCCACCACACACCGCCGAAGAUCUUAGCAUACGUCACUCGAAAACUCCGAGUGCUUGCAGGUCCUCCUCGAGCAUGGAAGGAGAAGGCAUAUUACCGAAGAAGGAGGUUAGCUGGAAACCCACCAACAAAGAUGGAUGAUGAAGCAUUGGUGCAUAGCAACUUGGUAUGCGAAAGACGACGGAAAAUUACAAAUUGUUUUUCUGCAUUGAGCUAUAGCACGGUUAAACCAGCGAAUCGGCCGUUGAGGGCAUUGACACACGAUGUUGCUGCACAGGCUCAAAUCUUUCGCUGCAACGUGCUCCCGUAUCAGCAAAUACAUGAUAUUUAGAAGUGUU